Molecule: transfer RNA, 67 nt
Filed under: marine eukaryotic metagenome
Rfam family: tRNA
About the family: Transfer RNA (tRNA) molecules are approximately 80 nucleotides in length.
Source: RNAcentral
AUUGUAGCUCAGUUGGUCAGAGCGGCUGAUUUGUAAUCAGCGGGUCGGGGGUUCGAAUCCCUCCAAU